CGAGAGUGAGUUUACCCCGUGUAUAAGCACGGGCCAACUACGGGCCAGCAGCCGCGGUAAUACUUAGGGUGCAAGCGUUAUCCGGAAUUAUUGGGGCGUAAAGGGCUUGUAGUCGGUUCGUCGCGUCCGGUGUGAAAGUCCAUCGCUAAACCGGUGGAUCCGCGCCGGGUACGGGCGGGCUUGAGUACGUUAGGGGAGACUGGAAUUCCCGGUGUAACGGUGGAAUGUGUAGAUAUCGGGAAGAACACCAAUGGCGAAGGCAGGUCUCUGGGCCGUUACUGACGCUGAGGAGCGAAAGCGUGGGGAGCGAACAGGAUUAGAUACCCUGGUAGUCCACGCCGUAAACGGUGGAUGCUGGAUGUGGGGCCCGUUCCACGGGUUCCGUGUCGGAGCUAACGCGUUAAGCAUCCCGCCUGGGGAGUACGGCCGCAAGGCUAAUACUCAAAGAAAUUGACGGGGGCCCGCACAAGCGGCGGAGCAUGCGGAUUAAUUCGAUGCAACGCGAAGAACCUUACCUGGGCUUGACAUGUUCCCGACGGUCGUAGAGAUACGGCUUCCCUUCGGGGCGGGUUCACAGGUGGUGCAUGGUCGUCGUCAGCUCGUGUCGUGAGAUGUUGGGUUAAGUCCCGCAACGAGCGCAACCCUCGCCCCGUGUUGCCAGCGGAUUAUGCCGGGAACUCACGGGGGGACCGCCGGGGUUAACUCGGAGGAAGGUGGGGAUGACGUCAGAUCAUCAUGCCCCUUACGUCCAGGGCUUCACGCAUGCUACAAUGGCCGGUACAACGGGAUGCGACGCGGCGACGCGGAGCGGAUCCCUGAAAACCGGUCUCAGUUCGGAUCGCAGUCUGCAACUCGACUGCGUGAAGGCGGAGUCGCUAGUAAUCGCGAAUCAGCAACGUCGCGGGAAUGUUAACCCGGGCCGUGUACACACCGCCCGUCAAGUCAUGUUAAGCGCAGCACGACAGCUUCAGCCUAAAUCAUGCGCAGUACCUGCAGCUUNNNGAAACCUUNCCNCAA
RNAcentral lists this ribosomal RNA (1017 nucleotides) under human gut metagenome. RNAcentral describes it as "bacterial SSU rRNA". It matches the Rfam family "Bacterial small subunit ribosomal RNA", at positions 464 to 1533 of the family's 1533-position model. The record is from RNAcentral.